UAGCUGCCUUAAAACGCUGGGAUUGACUUAAACAACCUACCAGAGGUGAAUGAGUUAUUUGAUGAAGACAACCCAAUCUCAAAUCCUUUUGCUGGUAUUGACCAAGAGUAUCUCCAAUAUGAAUACUACAAGAAGGAGUUUAAUCUUGUGGAACCACAAAAGAUUGUUCUUGGAAAAUACCACACAAAGAAAAGAAGAGGAAAUAGAUUGAGAGAUGUCGAAAAAACAGAUGAUGCAUACUAUAUUCCCUUGUUGGAAAGUCUGCAACAGCUUCUUAAUGAUGAGUCAAUUCUUAACGAGGUGGAAAAUCCUCAUUUUUGCAACAGUGAUUUUUUGUCUGAUUAUUGUGAUGGUGAAGGCUUUAAAGAGCACCCACUAUUCAGUAAAGAUCCCUUGGCAUUGCAACUUCUUAUUUAUUUUGAUGAAGUAGAAGUUUGUAACCCAUUAGGAUCAAGAGCUAACAAACAUA
Long non-coding RNA from Xenia sp. Carnegie-2017, 469 nucleotides. RefSeq lists it as uncharacterized. The transcript has 3 exons. Lineage: Eukaryota; Metazoa; Cnidaria; Anthozoa; Malacalcyonacea; Xeniidae. The record is from RefSeq and is a predicted model, not a curated record.